RNAcentral lists this ribosomal RNA (271 nucleotides) under uncultured actinomycete. Its description in RNAcentral is "partial 16S ribosomal RNA". It matches the Rfam family "Bacterial small subunit ribosomal RNA", at positions 644 to 913 of the family's 1533-position model. Lineage: Bacteria; Bacillati; Actinomycetota; Actinomycetes; Actinomycetales. The record is from RNAcentral.
GAGUUCGGCAGGGGAGACUGGAAUUCCUGGUGUAGCGGUGAAAUGCGCAGAUAUCAGGAGGAACACCGGUGGCGAAGGCGGGUCUCUGGGCCGAUACUGACGCUGAGGAGCGAAAGCGUGGGGAGCGAACAGGAUUAGAUACCCUGGUAGUCCACGCCGUAAACGGUGGGUGCUAGGUGUGGGGGACUUCCACGUCCUCCGUGCCGCAGCUAACGCAUUAAGCACCCCGCCUGGGGAGUACGGCCGCAAGGCUAAAACUCAAAGGAAUUGA